This 448-nucleotide ribosomal RNA is filed under the name uncultured Enterobacteriaceae bacterium. RNAcentral describes it as "bacterial SSU rRNA". It matches the Rfam family "Bacterial small subunit ribosomal RNA", at positions 934 to 1382 of the family's 1533-position model. The record is from RNAcentral. Lineage: Bacteria; Pseudomonadati; Pseudomonadota; Gammaproteobacteria; Enterobacterales; Enterobacteriaceae.
UGAGCAUGUGGUUUAAUUCGAUGCAACGCGAAGAACCUUACCUACUCUUGACAUCCAGAGAAUUUGCUAGAAAUAGCUUAGUGCCUUCGGGAACUCUGAGACAGGUGCUGCAUGGCUGUCGUCAGCUCGUGUUGUGAAAUGUUGGGUUAAGUCCCGCAACGAGCGCAACCCUUAUCCUUUGUUGCCAGCGAGUAAUGUCGGGAACUCAAAGGAGACUGCCGGUGAUAAACCGGAGGAAGGUGGGAUGACGUCAAGUCAUCAUGGCCCUUACGAGUAGGGCUACACACGUGCUACAAUGGCAUAUACAAAGAGAAGCGAACUCGCGAGAGCAAGCGGACCUCAUAAAGUAUGUCGUAGUCCGGAUUGGAGUCUGCAACUCGACUCCAUGAAGUCGGAAUCGCUAGUAAUCGUAGAUCAGAAUGCUACGGUGAAUACGUUCCCGGGCCUU